Molecule: ribosomal RNA, 274 nt
Filed under: uncultured bacterium
Lineage: Bacteria
Description: partial 16S ribosomal RNA
Rfam family: Bacterial small subunit ribosomal RNA
Source: RNAcentral
CGGCAGCAUGGAGAGCUUGCUCUCUGAUGGCGAGUGGCAAACGGGUGAGUAAUACAUCGGAACGUGCCCAGUAGUGGGGGAUAGCCCGGCGAAAGCCGGAUUAAUACCGCAUACGAUCUACGGAUGAAAGCGGGGGACCGCAAGGCCUCGCACUAUUGGAGUGGCCGAUGUCGGAUUAGCUAGUUGGUGGGGUAAUGGCUCACCAAGGCAACGACGGGUAGCCGGCCUGAGAGGGCGACCAGCCACACUGGGACUGAGACACGGCCCAGACUCC